AUUUUCAGCUGAGUCUCCGCACUGACUUUCUUCACAGGCCAUUUACAUAAGCAUCUCUGCAACAUAAUUACUGGUCCAGUCCUCAGCUGGCUCCAGACCACAAAUUAAAAGGGAACACCCGCACAGGCCACCACAUCAAGCCUGCGAUUCCUCCAGAAGAAACUCAAGAACGUGCUCCCUCUUGCCUGAGGGAGGGGAGGAGGCUUCUGGGAGAAGGUGGCCUGAAUGUGUCUCUCCAUCCUAUGACUCAUCCCUGGAGGAAUCCCCCUCAGCAGGAAAGGAGUCCCAGAAGGAAGCAAGGUGUGGCUUGGCGAGAGCAAAGGAUGUCUCUACUGGUUCAUUGUGGUAUUGGAUCCUGCUCCGUUCACAGCAACAGUUCCCACCAGGG
RNAcentral lists this long non-coding RNA (388 nucleotides) under Cricetulus griseus (Chinese hamster). RNAcentral describes it as "lncRNA (ENSCGRG00000026559.1)". Lineage: Eukaryota; Metazoa; Chordata; Mammalia; Rodentia; Cricetidae. The record is from RNAcentral.